RNAcentral lists this ribosomal RNA (253 nucleotides) under uncultured bacterium. RNAcentral's name for it is "partial 16S ribosomal RNA". It matches the Rfam family "Bacterial small subunit ribosomal RNA", at positions 524 to 776 of the family's 1533-position model. The record is from RNAcentral.
UACGAAGGGGGCUAGCGUUUUUCGGAAUUACUGGGCGUAAAGCGCACGUAGGCGGAUUGACAAGUCAGGGGUGAAAUCCCGGAGCUCAACUUCGGAACUGCCUUUGAUACUGCCUGUCUAGAGUCCGGAAGAGGUGGGUGGAAUUCCUAGUGUAGAGGUGAAAUUCGCAGAUAUUAGGAAGAACACCGGUGGCGAAGGCGGCCCACUGGUCCGGUACUGACGCUGAGGUGCGAAAGCGUGGGGAGCAGACAGG